Molecule: ribosomal RNA, 348 nt
Filed under: uncultured Veillonellaceae bacterium
Lineage: Bacteria; Bacillati; Bacillota; Negativicutes; Veillonellales; Veillonellaceae
Description: bacterial SSU rRNA
Rfam family: Bacterial small subunit ribosomal RNA
Source: RNAcentral
AGUAGUUUGAUCAUGGCUCGAGGACGAACGCUGGCGGCGUGCCUAACACAUGCAAGUCGAACGGGGGUUUUGCUUCGGUAGAACCCUAGUGGCGAACGGGUGAGUAACGCGUAGGCAACCUGCCCUUCAGACGGGGACAACAUCCCGAAAGGGGUGCUAAUACCGGAUACGAAGGAACCAUCGCAUGGUGGCUCCUUGAAAGAUGGCCUCUAUUUAUAAGCUAUCGCUGAAGGAUGGGCCUGCGUCCGAUUAGCUGGUUGGUGGGGUAACGGCCUACCAAGGCGACGAUCGGUAGCCGGUCUGAGAGGAUGAACGGCCACAUUGGGACUGAGACACGGCCCAGACUCC